Molecule: long non-coding RNA, 1563 nt
Organism: Echinops telfairi (small Madagascar hedgehog)
Lineage: Eukaryota; Metazoa; Chordata; Mammalia; Afrosoricida; Tenrecidae
Exons: 4
Source: RefSeq, a predicted model, not a curated record
UUCACUACCACCACCCAAACCGCUACCACCUCUACCACCACUGCCACCGCCACCAGCAGGGGCAGCAGCUUCAGUUUCUACUGAAAUGGACACCCUUGAGAAAAUGAACCGCUGCAUGUAUUACUGGAUCUAUGACUAUCAUGAUGGGCCGGGUGUCUUGGACCACUUCCUUCAACUCUGAGGAUCCAGGUCCGUGAGUAUUACAGAUCUGACGACAUUCCUGGACCCUGUGACUCUCCAGCAGGCACUCCAGUGCCCCACCUGUACUUCCUGUUUCCUUCCGAGAAACAGUUACGGUGAGUACUUCAGGGGUAGCAGGAAUAUGAAGAAACUCGAGGACCCUGGUAAGUGUGUAAGGGGGAAGACUGGGUGGGUCAGGAGGGCGUGCAGGAGUCAAGCAUGGGGACUAGGUGAGUGAGGCAGUCUCUCGCCUUUCCUUCUCCCCCUUGCACAGCUCAUUGGUUCCGCUAGCUGAAGUAUACCAAACACGACAUCAUUGACUUCCUCGGUGCCUUGCCCCAAACCCAGCAGGACCUUUCGUGGAGUAUAUAUGUGUGCAGGGAGUAAGCACCUGCUUCUUCCUCCCUGAGGCAGGCCCACAGAGCGGAGGUCGGGUGGAGGCUUAGGGGGAGCCCAGAAGCCUGAGCCGUUCUUCUCUUUCAGGAAAAGAUGGUCUGCUUUUCUGUCACUGGAACUUUCACGGAGGGGAGUGUCUGUAGUAGGGUCCCUUCUAUGUGCCCCCACUGCCCCCUCUCAGAGCUCUCCUGGCUUCCCUCAUUCCUCUUCUUCCUGCUCUUCCUGUGUUGUCCCGCUCACUCCCACCAAGCCCCUCACCCUCCCUUGUCUGACCUAUAGCCUGUCCCACCACAGAGCAGGACUUAGGGACACAGGCCAUAGAGCUGAUGGCUCUCAUCCUCUCCCCUCUCUCUGCCACCCUAGGGCACUUGCUUAAACUCUUGGCCUCCUACUGUGCAAAAUGAAGCUGGUAAUAUCUCUCGUUAGGUCAGCUGUGAGAAACUGAAGCAAAUGAACGUGUCACAGGGGCUAACACAGAGUCGGGGCCGUAUCACUGUGAGGGGUUGCCUUCUCCACUGCUAAAGCUUCCCCCUAAACUCCCAGUGAACAGUUGUCCCCACCUGUCUUCUCCCCGAUGCUGUGGGACAAGAAGACCCUGAACCUGUGGAGGGAUGGAGGGGCGGGGGGGACGACUGCAGGUGUGUGUGUACGAAGGGGCAACUCUGAGGGAUAUUGCUGCUUGUUGUCCUUGCAGUGGAUGCAGCGUGUCAGGCCCAUGCCAGUGGCUUCAUGCGAACCUCCAUCGCUGUUCCUACUAAUGACUUCAGGGACUGCACUUCUCUCAAGAGACUGUGACUGCUUCCAAGGAGUGAAUAAUUCUAAACAAAAAAAUCAAAUCUUUGUAAAUGAGGCGCCAUGGCCGCGUGGUUCGGAGACGGCUCCGGCUUUCCUCCAGAGCCCCCCUCGACCCCAGACUCCCACCUGCAGACUUCAGACCGAGAAAUCUCCCGUGAGCACAGUGGUGACAAGUCCCUGGCUGCAGGCUGC